This 529-nucleotide ribosomal RNA is filed under the name uncultured euryarchaeote. RNAcentral's name for it is "bacterial SSU rRNA". It matches the Rfam family "Archaeal small subunit ribosomal RNA", at positions 339 to 868 of the family's 1478-position model. The record is from RNAcentral. Lineage: Archaea; Methanobacteriati; Methanobacteriota.
GCGCGAAAACUCUACAAUGCAGGCAACUGCGAUAGGGGAACAUCGAGUGGCACCCACCAUGGGUGUCUGUCCAAUCGUCUAAAAAACGAUUGUCAGCAAGGGCCGGGCAAGACCGGUGCCAGCCGCCGCGGUAAUACCGGCGGCUCGAGUGGUGGCCGAUAUUAUUGAGUCUAAAGGGUCCGUAGCCGGCUUUGCAAGUCCCCUGGGAAAUCCAGCGGCUUAACCGUUGGGCUUUCAUGGGAUACUACAUUGCUUGGGACUGGGAGAGGUAGGAGGUACUCAGGGGGUAGGGGUGAAAUCCUGUAAUCCUCUGGGGACCACCGGUGGCGAAGGCGUCCUACCAGAACAGGUCCGACGGUGAGGGACGAAAGCUAGGGGCACGAACCGGAUUAGAUACCCGGGUAGUCCUAGCCGUAAACGAUGCUCGCUAGGUGUCACGGCAGUCGUGAAUUGUCGUGGUGCCGUAGGGAAGCCGUGAAGCGAGCCACUUGGGAAGUACGACCGCAAGGUUGAAACUUAAAGGAAUUGG